Long non-coding RNA from Medicago truncatula (barrel medic), 2359 nucleotides. RefSeq lists it as uncharacterized. The transcript has 2 exons. The record is from RefSeq and is a predicted model, not a curated record. Lineage: Eukaryota; Viridiplantae; Streptophyta; Magnoliopsida; Fabales; Fabaceae.
AUACUUCCAUCAAUAUCAUAUCCUUUCAAUUACCUCUUUAACUACAAACAAUUUUCAAACUAACCAAUCAACAUCCAUCGCUAACACUGUAUAUCUCUUCAAAUGUCUAUCCAUCUUAAAAAACAGUGUUGCACACUGCUCCAUAUUCCUUACUUUCUCUCUAACAUCAUUCCAAUCCGGUUCUUCUUCUCUCACACUCCAUUCAUACCCAUGAACAAACAAUCAGUUAAACUCAUCCAUGAAUUCACUCCAGAUCGGUGAGUGGCUUCGUUCUUCCCUCCUAACCCCCAACUUCCACCAAACAAACAAUCAUGACCGAACACGGCAAACUCAAAUCCUAUUCCGGCCACCCUCCUCCGCCGUCGUCGCAAUCCUUUCAACCUCCUUAGUACGAGUCUUUCCAUGGCAUUUCCAAUUUCCCACCUCUUCACCCUAACCCUUACCCCUGCCGUCGGUUUCCCUCCUGGAUCCGACCCCUCCGCCCCUAUUACAGUUAUGGCUACUAAGCUUUUUCCGUUAUUGUUCCUUCUUUUAUUUAUAGCUUAUUUCUUCCAUUUGGUUUUGUUUUGUAGCUUGAAAAUGAAAAUGUUUUGCAGCUUGAAAAUGAAAAUAUUGAAUUUUUUUAUUUUGAUCAGCUCUAUGACGGGUCAUACUAAUUUAGAAAUUUAAUGAAUAAGUUCAAUUUAUCGAUCUUACCUUUUUGUUUGGAGAUUUUGUUAUUUUUUGUUGGUUUAUACUUAUCUCUAUUCUUGACUGACUCCUCUUUGUUGUUGAUAUCUAAGCUCUAAGUUGAUAUCUAGGUAACCAAUGAUGGUUUGAUUUAAUCAUAUGUGUUUUAUUCUUUGCUUUCCUUCACAUUUUAUGAGUCUUACUAACCUAAUUUGAUUACCCUUCAACAAAAUUUGGACUUUGCAACUUCAUGCGCACCUUUUUUUUUCUUUUUUAUGUUUACAAAACUCAAUUUCCUCGGUUGUGUAACGAUUAAGGUAUAUGUACUGUGAAGGGCAUUGUUAGUAUGCAAGAGCCAUGUCAAUUAAUUCAUUUCAAUUUAUGGAUUGUUUUCCUUGAAUUUUUUUUUCUUUUCAAACAUCCAAUGUGUAUUUCAAUGGAUUAUAUAUAAAUGUCAUCUUUCGUCUGUGUAUGCUACUGUUAAGCUACUUCUUCUAGGUGUUCUGCCAUAUCACUGUGAAGCUACUUCUUAUCUGUUUGAGUCAUUCUUCUCACCACAUCGGUGUUCUGCCAUUUUCUUACAUGAUUUAGGUUAUUUAUGCUUUUGGUUGUUUUUUUUCUUUACAUCACUUCAUAUAUUCUUCUUUUAUCUUUAAUUUUGCUUUUGGUUGUGCUCAAUAUACUAUUUCAAAUGUGGCUGCUAAAGUGAUUCUUGAAACUUGAAAACAAUGUUAUGUAAAUUUGUUUAACUCUGUGAUUUAAAUCUUAUAUUUGAAGCAAGAAUGUCAAAUAGCUAUUGGUGAUCAAUGAUAUUAAAUCAUUUUUUUUAUUGUAAUGGUUGAAUAACUGUUGAGAAUGUGUAACAGUUUUGUUCAAUGAAUUGUUUACUAAGCUGAGAUUAUUGAUCACAGUAUACGUUUAUUCAUACUCUGUUAAAAAUGAGUUCUUUUUUGAAUUCUUAGGUAGCUCUCGCUGUUGAGUUCCAACUCCUCCACUUAUAUAAACUUAAAAAAGUGCUAACGAGUUCUUUUUUAGAUUAGGACUUAUUUACUUGACCUUCUGACUUAGAAAUUAUGCAGGAUUUAGGGAGGACUCAGUUAUUGAAGAUCAAUAUCAGACCGGAGGUAGUACCACCCUACGACCAAAAGGAAACUCAUAAAAGGAUGAUCUUUAGUUUAAAAGCUAAAGAGAUGGAAAAAAAUGUAUUCAACCCAACUAGGGGGAGAAGUGUUAAAGGGUCUAAAAUGUUAAGACUGUGGGAACCAAGCAAAGAAGGAUUGUGCAUACUCAAGGUGCAGAAGUUGCUGCAAAAACAAAGAUUUUAACUGCCAUACACAUAUCAGAACUUCAGAAGCACUUGGAUUCCUGCUGAUAGAAAAUUAGUGGAAAAAAAGAUCUGAAAUGCAUCCACCGCAAAGAUUCCUAAAAUGCCAUGGAUCAUGAUUGAAGAUUCAAAGUAAUCAAGGAGCAUUAUUUGGUAAUAUUAGUUAUGUCGACAUCUCUUUAGUGAAACCAUUUUGGCUAUCUAAUUGUUUGUUGUCCCUUUCUUAGUUAAAAUUUUCCAUUUAUGGAGUUGUCAUAUUUUGUGUGAAUUAUGUAAGGGCUGGGUUAACUAUUUUGGAUACAAAUUUGUAUUUGCACCUUUUGCUGGAUUGGCUUUAAUUAAGUAUGUUUUGUUUUUAAGCUUGAA